CAGCCGCCGCGGGAAUACGUAGGGUGCAAGCGUUAAUCGGAAUUACUGGGCGUAAAGCGUGCGCAGGCGGUUUGUUAAGACAGAUGUGAAAUCCCCGGGCUCAACCUGGGAAUGGCAAUGGAUACUGGCAAGCUAGAGUGUGUCAGAGGAUGGUGGAAUUCCCGGCGUAGCGGUGAAAUGCGUAGAGAUCGGGAGGAACAUCAGUGGCGAAGGCGGCCAUCUGGGACAACACUGACGCUGAGGCACGAAAGCGUGGGGAGCAAACAGGAUUAGAUACCCCAGUAGUCCCUGUCUCUUAUAC
RNAcentral lists this ribosomal RNA (301 nucleotides) under uncultured bacterium. RNAcentral describes it as "partial 16S ribosomal RNA". It matches the Rfam family "Bacterial small subunit ribosomal RNA", at positions 509 to 807 of the family's 1533-position model. The record is from RNAcentral.